Danio aesculapii is the source of this 367-nucleotide long non-coding RNA. RefSeq lists it as uncharacterized. NCBI's taxonomy places the organism in Eukaryota, Metazoa, Chordata, Actinopteri, Cypriniformes, Danionidae. The record is from RefSeq and is a predicted model, not a curated record. The transcript is spliced from 7 exons.
GCAUGCUUUGUUCAGCUGUGCAGCAGGAGAUGGGUCAAAGGAGAUCUCAACAACGUCUGAUUCUCAGCUGACAUGUCAUGACAACACUCAACAGAUACAGACCCUGCCUUAGGAGGCCCAUCUAAAGAUCAUUGCAAGAAGGACAAAUAUCACAGCAGGAGGGAAGAGCACGAACAACCUGGAAUGAAGAAAGCUAGGCAGCCUGUUGUGAACCCACCAGGCACCUCAGAUGAUAUCGAGACUUCCUUUGGAGGCUCAUCUCAAGGGAAUCACGAAAAUUCUGCUGAAAAAAAUCUGGACGAUGCUAAAAGGAAGCAGAAACGAGCCUGGUCUUCAACUGAAAUUUCAGCAGUACAGAGGCACUUCC